UAGUCUCGCACAGAUGCAUAUCAAUAAGCGGAGGAAAAGAAACUAACAAGGAUUCCCCUAGUAACGGCGAGUGAAGCGGGAAGAGCUCAAAUUUGAAAUCUUAAAGGGUUUCCCUUUACGAAUUGUAGUUUAAAGAAGUGUUUUCUGUUGAGGUCUUGGUAAAAGUUCUUUGGAAUAGGACAUCAUAGAGGGUGAGAAUCCCGUAUUUGACCUUUACUUUCAACUUUGUGAUACACUUUCAAAGAGUCGGAUUGUUUGGGAAUGCAGUCCAAAAUGGGUGGUAAAUUUCAUCUAAAGCUAAAUAUUGGCGAGAGACCGAUAGCGAACAAGUACCGUGAGGGAAAGAUGAAAAGAACUUUGAAAAGAGAGUUAAACAGUACGUGAAAUUGUCAGAAGGGAAGCGUUUGACACCAGUGUUGUUUUUCUGAAAAUCAAUUAAAGAACUGUUUAUGCUAAGUUGUUUAGACUUUAUCAGCUAACUGUUUAGUUUUGAGCUUUUCUUUAAUGCACUUUUCAGUUAACAAGUCAACAUCAAUUUCUUUUGCUGUAAAAAAGCUUGAGGAAGGUGGCUUGAGAUUCGUCUUAAGUGUUUAUAGCCUCUUGCCUAUGCAGUCGGAGAGAUUGAGGUCUGCAGCGUAGAUCCUUCGGGGCUAAAUGCAUUUGUGCUAAGUUAUAGCAUUUUAUAGACAACUUGUUGACUAUGAUUUGUCUUGUAGCUUACUCGCUUAUGUUAUUUUACCUACGCUUAGGAUGUUGAUCUGUAGUGCGUGCGC
RNAcentral lists this ribosomal RNA (773 nucleotides) under uncultured Neocallimastigales. Its description in RNAcentral is "partial large subunit ribosomal RNA". It matches the Rfam family "Eukaryotic large subunit ribosomal RNA", at positions 24 to 646 of the family's 3401-position model. The record is from RNAcentral. Lineage: Eukaryota; Fungi; Neocallimastigomycota; Neocallimastigomycetes; Neocallimastigales.